AUGGGCGUCGUCUUGGCGAGUUCCGUGUCGCCAUCCCCGUGGAAUGCGGCAGCAUCCUCCGAGCUUCUGCGCCUUUGUCCUCCAUGGCACCGGAUUGAUGAUGUAGACAACGGGCGUCGUCCUAGCAAGCUUCGUCCAUCCACCGCGGCACGGCGGCGGCAUCGUCACAAGCUCCAUGCCUCCGUCUUCAAUGGCGCCGUCUUGAAGAAGAAGACGACAGGCGUCGUCCGGGCGACCUCCGUGUCGCCAUCCUCCGUUGGUCGCGUUGCCCGCCGCCUCGACAGCACCUGGUAUGAGAAGAACACCCCUUUGUCCGCGGCCACCUCCGUUGGGCGCAUCGCCCGCCGCUUCAACUGCUCCAGGUACAGGAAGAGUGUUGUAUCGUCCGCGGCCAACUCUGCUGGGCGUGCUUUCCGAAAGCCAUUCUGCAAAAUAAAUGAUUACAUAUAG
This 450-nucleotide ribosomal RNA is filed under the name Triticum aestivum (bread wheat). RNAcentral's name for it is "partial small subunit ribosomal RNA". The record is from RNAcentral. Lineage: Eukaryota; Viridiplantae; Streptophyta; Magnoliopsida; Poales; Poaceae.